Molecule: ribosomal RNA, 253 nt
Filed under: uncultured bacterium
Lineage: Bacteria
Description: partial 16S ribosomal RNA
Rfam family: Bacterial small subunit ribosomal RNA
Source: RNAcentral
UACGAAGGGGGCUAGCGUUGCUCGGAAUUACUGGGCGUAAAGCGCACGUAGGCGGAUCUUUAAGUCGGGGGUGAAAUCCCGGGGCUCAACCCCGGAACUGCCUUUGAUACUGGUAGUCUCGAGUCCGGAAGAGGUGAGUGGAAUUCCGAGUGUAGAGGUGAAAUUCGUAGAUAUUCGGAGGAACACCAGUGGCGAAGGCGGCUCACUGGUCCGGUACUGACGCUGAGGUGCGAAAGCGUGGGGAGCAAACAGG